Molecule: long non-coding RNA, 1154 nt
Organism: Catharus ustulatus (Swainson's thrush)
Lineage: Eukaryota; Metazoa; Chordata; Aves; Passeriformes; Turdidae
Exons: 2
Source: RefSeq, a predicted model, not a curated record
GCCUUUAUUUUGAUAAAAUUGGUCAAGCCCACAUAAGGCAACGCACACACGGCUCCGCCCGCCCCCCGCCCGCCCCAACCAGAAAAUAAAUAACACAAACCAAGAGAGGACUCCAUGUAGUGUUUGGCUUUGCAGUAUAGAAAUUCCACACAAUGAUUUCUGUUGUGUUGCUGUCAAUUAUUUUUGUUUAGUUGGUUUUUUUUGUUGUUUUUUUUUUCCCUGUUUAAAAAGGUAAAAAUGAUUUAUAAUACACAGUCAGAACGUGGUGCCCGCAUAGAAAACCGACAUGCAAUCCAUGCCUACACUGCGCCCUAUAAAUAAGAUGCAACUCAAAAUACAAAGGACAGGAACACUACAAAGUUUCAAUUCUAAAGGGGAGGGGUGUUUUUUUGUUGUUUUGUUGUUUUUUAAAAAGGACAGACACACGUAACAAAGGCUACCUGCGCUUUCACAUUGCCAUCACAGUGACGGGGGGGCCGUUGCUCCGAGGAAUAAACGCGCUGGUUUUGGGGUUUCUCCAGAAAUAAAAACAGCCAAGGUGGGGGGCAGCAGGGGAGGAGGGGAUUUCCUGCUUCCUUCAGCUCCAGAAGGUCUUUCCUUAAAGGAACAGCUCAAGAUUUAAUUGUUGUUUUGACAGAAAUUUUUAGGAGGGACGGUUUGGUUUUGCUGUUAGAGAAACUCAGGGAAGGUUUUGAUCUUGGAGUUGAGGUUGGGAAAGGGACACAGAAUCAGGGUUGGGGAGGAAUCACUGAAUUAAGGCUGGAAAAGAACCUGAAUCGAGUUCAGAAAAAAAAAUAAUCACCAAAUCAGGGUUGGAAAAGAACAAACCAGUCAAGGUGGGAGAAGAAAAACCAAAUUAAGGUGGGAAAAAAAUUCAGGAAUCAGGGUUGGAAAGGAAGAACCCAAUCAAGGUGGGAAAAGAAAAACCAAAUCAAGGUGGGAAAAGAACAACCCAGUCAAGGUGGGAGAAGAAAAACCAAAUUAAGGUGGGAAAAAAAUUCUGGAAUCAGGGCUGGAAAGGAAGAACCCAAUCAAGGUAGGAGAAGAAAAACCAAAUUAAGGUGGGAAAAAAAUUCUGGAAUCAGGGCUGGAAAGGAAGAACCAAAUGAAGGUUGGGAAAGACCUGCAGGACCCCAAGGUCCCUCUGGGCUGAA